GAGUGCAAUGAAGAAGCCUGAUGAAAUAGCUAUGAAAGGUGCUUUUGAAAUCAUGUUUGAGAGUCUAGAUAUUGGUCCAAGUCUAAUUUGAGUUUAGCUAAUGUUUCCCACUAAAUCAAAUUUAUAGGAGCUAUCUGGUUCCUGAGCCAAAUAUUGUUUUAAGUGGAGUUAAUUUGGCUCAUUGCUAAGUGAUAUGAAAUUGAUCCCAAGUUAAGUGAUAUGCUACA
RNAcentral lists this unclassified non-coding RNA (227 nucleotides) under Hevea brasiliensis (rubber tree). Lineage: Eukaryota; Viridiplantae; Streptophyta; Magnoliopsida; Malpighiales; Euphorbiaceae. The record is from RNAcentral.